This 377-nucleotide ribosomal RNA is filed under the name uncultured bacterium. RNAcentral's name for it is "bacterial SSU rRNA". It matches the Rfam family "Bacterial small subunit ribosomal RNA", at positions 29 to 419 of the family's 1533-position model. The record is from RNAcentral.
AACGAACGCUGGCGGCAGGCCUAACACAUGCAAGUCGAACGCCGUAGCAAUACGGAGUGGCAGACGGGUGAGUAACGCGUGGGAACAUACCCCUCGGUUCGGAAUAACUCAGGGAAACUUGAGCUAAUACCGGAUACGUCCGAGGUUUUGAUCGACCUUGGAGAAAGAUUUAUCGCCGAAGGAUUGGCCUGCGUCUGAUUAGCUUGUUGGUGAGGUAAUGGCUCACCAAGGCGACGAUCAGUAGCUGGUCUGAGAGGAUGAUCAGCCACAUUGGGACUGAGACACGGCCCAAACUCCUACGGGAGGCAGCAGUGGGGAAUAUUGGACAAUGGGCGAAAGCCUGAUCCAGCCAUGCCGCGUGAGUGAUGAAGGCCUGG